GACGAACGCUGGCGGCGUGGAUUAGGCAUGCAAGUCGAACGGUAUCAUCCUUUCGGGGGUGAGAGAGUGGCGAACUGGUGAGUAACACGUAGGUUAUCUACCCUCAAGACGGGGACAACCCAGGGAAACUUGGGCUAAUACCGGAUGUGAGCAACUUUUAGUUGUUUGAAAGGUGGCGUAAGCUGUCGCUUGGGGAUGAGCCUGCGUCCUAUUAGUUAGUUGGUGAGGUAACGGCUCACCUAGGCAAUGAUAGGUAGGCGGCCUUAACGGGUGGUCGCCCACACUGGGAUUGAGAUACGGCCCAGACUCCUACGGGAGGCAGCAGUCGAGAAUAGUCUACAAUGGUCGGAAGACUGAUAGUGCGACGCCGCGUGAACGAUGAAUCCCUUCGGGGUGUAAAGUUCUUUUAUAUGUGAGCAGUGCUUCUUAUAUUAACAGUAUGGGGAGAGAAGAUAUUAGCAUAUGAAUAAGCAACGGCUAACUCCGUGCCAGCAGCCGCGGUAAACUCGU
RNAcentral lists this ribosomal RNA (510 nucleotides) under uncultured bacterium. RNAcentral describes it as "bacterial SSU rRNA". It matches the Rfam family "Bacterial small subunit ribosomal RNA", at positions 28 to 528 of the family's 1533-position model. The record is from RNAcentral.